Molecule: transfer RNA, 75 nt
Filed under: Candidatus Amphirhobacter heronislandensis
Lineage: Bacteria; Pseudomonadati; Pseudomonadota; Gammaproteobacteria; Candidatus Tethybacterales; Candidatus Tethybacteraceae
Description: Betaproteobacteria bacterium AqS2 (symbiont metagenome) tRNA-Arg
Rfam family: tRNA
About the family: Transfer RNA (tRNA) molecules are approximately 80 nucleotides in length.
Source: RNAcentral
GCGCCCGUAGCUCAAUGGAUAGAGCGGCGGCCUUCUAAGCCGUUGAUACAGGUUCGAAUCCUGUCGGGCGCGCCA